RNAcentral lists this ribosomal RNA (429 nucleotides) under Actinomycetes bacterium. RNAcentral's name for it is "Actinobacteria bacterium partial 16S ribosomal RNA". It matches the Rfam family "Bacterial small subunit ribosomal RNA", at positions 355 to 776 of the family's 1533-position model. The record is from RNAcentral. Lineage: Bacteria; Bacillati; Actinomycetota; Actinomycetes.
UAGGGAAUCUUCCGCAAUGUGCGAAAGCUUGACGGAGCAACGCCGCGUGAGUGAUGAAGGUCUUCGGAUCGUAAAACUCUGUUUUUAGGGAAGAACAAAUGUGUAAGUAACUAUGCACGUCUUGACGGUACCUAAUCAGAAAGCCACGGCUAACUACGUGCCAGCAGCCGCGGUAAUACGUAGGUGGCAAGCGUUAUCCGGAAUUAUUGGGCGUAAAGCGCGCGUAGGCGGUUUUUUAAGUCUGAUGUGAAAGCCCACGGCUCAACCGUAGAGGGUCAUUGGAAACUGGAAAACUUGAGUGCAGAAGAGGAAAGUGGAAUUCCAUGUGUAGCGAUGAAAUGCGCAGAGAUAUGGAGGAACACCAGUGGCGAAGGCGACUUUCUGGUCUGUAACUGACGCUGAUGUGCGAAAGCGUGGGGAUCAAACAGG